CGCGAUUCGCCCUUCGGGGUGCAGCAGGCGCGAAAACUUUACAAUGCGGGAAACCGUGAUAAGGGGACACCGAGUGCCAGCAUCAUAUGCUGGCUGUCCAGGUGUGUAAAAUACACCUGUCAGCAAGGGCCGGGCAAGACCGGUGCCAGCCGCCGCGGUAACACCGGCGGCCCGAGUGGUGAUCGUGAUUAUUGGGUCUAAAGGGUCCGUAGCCGGUUUGGUCAGUCCUCCGGGAAAUCUGACGGCUCAACCGUUAGGCUUUCGGGGGAUACUGCCAGGCUUGGAACCGGGAGAGGUAAGAGGUACUACAGGGGUAGGAGUGAAAUCUUGUAAUCCCUGUGGGACCACCUGUGGCGAAGGCGUCUUACCAGAACGGGUUCGACGGUGAGGGACGAAAGCUGGGGGCACGAACCGGAUUAGAUACCCGGGUAGUCCCAGCCGUAAACGAUGCUCGCUAGGUGUCAGGCAUGGCGCGACCGUGUCUGGUGCCGCAGGGAAGCCGUGAAGCGAGCCACCUGGGAAGUACGGCCGCAAGGCUGAAACUUAAAGGAAUUGGCGGGGGAGCAC
This 567-nucleotide ribosomal RNA is filed under the name uncultured archaeon. Its description in RNAcentral is "bacterial SSU rRNA". It matches the Rfam family "Archaeal small subunit ribosomal RNA", at positions 312 to 879 of the family's 1478-position model. The record is from RNAcentral.